GACGAACGCUGGCGGCGUGCUUAACACAUGCAAGUCGAACGGAAAGGCCCUGCUUUUGUGGGGUGCUCGAGUGGCGAACGGGUGAGUAACACGUGAGUAACCUGCCCUUGACUUUGGGAUAACUUCAGGAAACUGGGGCUAAUACCGGAUAGGAGCUCCUGCUGCAUAGUGGGGGUUGGAAAGUUUCGGCGGUUGGGGAUGGACUCGCGGCUUAUCAGCUUGUUGGUGGGGUAGUGGCUUACCAAGGCUUUGACGGGUAGCCGGCCUGAGAGGGUGACCGGCCACAUUGGGACUGAGAUACGGCCCAGACUCCUGCGGGAGGCAGCAGUGGGGAAUAUUGCACAAUGGGCGGAAGCCUGAUGCAGCAACGCCGCGUGCGGGAUGACGGCCUUCGGGUUGUAAACCGCUUUCGCCUGUGACGAAGCGUGAGUGACGGUAAUGGGUAAAGAAGCACCGGCUAACUACGUG
This 468-nucleotide ribosomal RNA is filed under the name uncultured bacterium. RNAcentral describes it as "partial 16S ribosomal RNA". It matches the Rfam family "Bacterial small subunit ribosomal RNA", at positions 28 to 507 of the family's 1533-position model. The record is from RNAcentral.